RNAcentral lists this ribosomal RNA (1934 nucleotides) under marine metagenome. RNAcentral describes it as "bacterial LSU rRNA". It matches the Rfam family "Bacterial large subunit ribosomal RNA", at positions 157 to 2186 of the family's 2925-position model. RNAcentral also lists the same sequence under 1 other name. The record is from RNAcentral.
GUUGAAGACAUGUCACCGAAAGGUGCUAACCCGGUGAACUGAAACAUCUAAGUAACCGGAGGAAUAGAAAAUAAUUAAUGAUUCCCCAAGUAGCGGCGAGCGAACGGGGAACAGCCCAAACCAAUCUUGUUUCGGCAAGGUUGGGGUUGUAGGACAGAAAUAAAUCUAACAAAGAUCUGCAGAAUAUACCUGGAAAGGUGAGCAGUAUAGGGUGAUAGCCCCGUAUGUAGGUUGGAGUGUGACGUUCUGUAUCCUGAGUAGCGCGGGACAUGUGAAAUCCUGUGUGAAUCUACCAGAACCAUCUGGUAAGGCUAAAUAUAUUGAGAGACCGAUAGCGAACAAGUACCGUGAGGGAAAGGUGAAAAGUACCCCGAACAGGGGAGUGAAAUAGUACCUGAAACCAGCUGUCUACAAGCGGUCGAAGCCUUCGGGCGACGGCGUGCCUUUUGCAUAAUGAUCCUACGAGUUACUCCUCUCUAGCAAGGUUAAGGACUUCAGGUCCGGAGCCGAAGCGAAAGCAAGUCUUAAAUAGGCGUAUAGUUAGGGGGGGUAGACGCGAAACCUGGUGAUCUACCCAUGGUCAGGUUGAAGCUUCGGUAAUACGAAGUGGAGGACCGAACCCUCAGAUGUUGAAAAAUCUUGGGAUGAACUGUGGGUAGGGGUGAAAGGCCAAUCAAACCAGGAAAUAGCUCGUUCUCCCCGAAAUGCAUUUAGGUGCAGCGUCGGAAUCGAGUGUCAUAGAGGUAGAGCUACUGAUUGGGCUAGGGGGCUUCACCGCCUACCAAACCCUAAUAAACUCCGAAUGCUAUGACAUAUAUCCGGCAGUGAGGGCAUGGGUGCUAAGGUCCAUGUCCGAGAGGGAAACAACCCAGACUAUCUGCUAAGGUCCCCAAAUCGGGGCUAAGUUCAUCUAACGUGGUGCGGCUGCAUUGACAGCUAGGAUGUUGGCUUGGAAGCAGCCAUUCAUUUAACGAGUGCGUAACAGCUCACUAGUCGAGCGGCCGUGCGUGGAUAAUAAUCGGGGAUAAGCCCCGUACCGAAGCAGUAGAUAGAAAUAUGGUAGGGGAGCAUUCAUGCGACACUGAAGGUGUACCGUAAGGUAUGCUGGAGUCUCAUGAAAAGAAAAUGUAGGAAUGAGUAACGAUAAAGUGGGCGAGAAACCCACUCACCAUAAGACUAAGGUUUCCUGAUCAACGCUAAUCGGAUCAGGGUUAGUCGGGACCUAACGCGAACCCGAAAGGGGUAGUCGAUGGAAAACAGAUUAAUAUUUCUGUACCUGCUACACAUUAAAAGUGACGGAGAUAUGUAGUUGUUACGUGCUGACGGAAUAGCACGUUGAGCCUAGCCUUCUGGGCGAAGCGAAACAAUGAAAUAGCUUCCAAGAAAAGCGAGUGUAGCGGCCCGUACCGCAAACCGACACAGGUAGUCGAGGAGAGUAUCCUAAGGUGCUCGAGUGAAUCAUGGUUAAGGAACUAGGCAAAUUAGUCUCGUAACUUCGGGAGAAGAGACGCUCUUUUAUUAGAGCCGCAGUGAAUAGGCCCAAGCGACUGUUUAUCAAAAACACAUGGCUUUGCUAAAUCGAAAGAUGACGUAUAAGGCCUGACACCUGCCCGGUGCUGGAAGGUUAAGAGGAGAAGUUAGUUUCGACGAAGCUUUGAAUUGAAGCCCCAGUAAACGGCGGCCGUAACUAUAACGGUCCUAAGGUAGCGAAAUUCCUUGUCGGGUAAGUUCCGACCUGCACGAAUGGUGUAACGAUUUGGGCACUGUCUCAACCAUGAGCUCGGUGAAAUUGUAGUAUCGGUGAAGAUGCCGAUUACCCGCAACGGGACGAAAAGACCCCGUGAACCUUUACUAUAGCUUUGCAUUGGUGUUGAUUAUUUGAUGUGUAGGAUAGGUGGGAGACUUUGAAGCUGUGUCGCUAGGCAUGGUGGAGU